GCUGAUUACUGAGCGGUUCUUCCUCACCUGGCUUGGGCCACUGUGCACAGCUGUGCCACUGGCUCAGCCCCGCCCCCUGCGGCCCUCCGCCGUGGCUUCCCCAUCCCUACAGAGAGAUGCUGUCCCAUGGGGUGGGGGAUCAGGUGACCCAUAUUCGGAUCCAGAACUCAGGGGAUUUCUAUGACCUGUAUGGAGGGGAGAAGUUCGCGACUCUGACAGAGCUGGUGGAGUACUACACUCAGCAGCAGGGCGUCCUGCAGGACCGCGACGGCACCAUCAUCCACCUCAAGUACCCGCUGAACUGCUCCGAUCCCACUAGUGAGAGGUGGUACCAUGGCCACAUGUCUGGCGGGCAGGCAGAGACGCUGCUGCAGGCCAAGGGCGAGCCCUGGACGUUUCUUGUGCGUGAGAGCCUCAGCCAGCCUGGAGACUUCGUGCUGUCUGUGCUCAGUGACCAGCCCAAGGCUGGCCCAGGCUCCCCGCUCAGGGUCACCCACAUCAAGGUCAUGUGCGAGGGUGGACGCUACACAGUGGGUGG
Molecule: small RNA, 538 nt
Filed under: Pan troglodytes (chimpanzee)
Lineage: Eukaryota; Metazoa; Chordata; Mammalia; Primates; Hominidae
Description: processed transcript
Source: RNAcentral